Pelobates fuscus (common spadefoot toad) is the source of this 708-nucleotide long non-coding RNA. RefSeq lists it as uncharacterized. NCBI's taxonomy places the organism in Eukaryota, Metazoa, Chordata, Amphibia, Anura, Pelobatidae. The record is from RefSeq and is a predicted model, not a curated record. The transcript is spliced from 4 exons.
UUAAAAAUGAAGUACAUAAAUGGACAGACUAUUUUAGAAAUAGCAAUUCUUAAAUGUCAGCUUAAAAGUAAACCCUGUUGCAGACCAUCAAAGAGAUAACCUUUUAACCUCGCUACCAGAAAUACAUGUUGUUGGCUGCUAAAUAAACAAUAUCGUGUUUAGCUGAUGUAAUCUUGUCAUGUUACUUUUGCUGUAACUUCUGUCUAUAAAUAUGUUUGCCUAACUCUUUGUACACUGGCAGUAGCCCAAUUUGAAACACGUUGUCUUUGUAUCACUGAAAGGCUCUCUCCGAAUGUUCGGUCCAAAAGUGAGGUGCAUGGAACGUUUUGCCCAGCAGUGUAAUAUGACCCCAACAGUGACUUCUGGAGGAGCAUAAGUACGUAGUGAUCCAUCUUAGCGGAGGGGCAUUUGCAUACACAUUUGGUGCCAUGUGUAAAUUUUGCAUCAAAUUAAUCGAAAACCCAAAACAAUCAAUGCAUCAGUAACACAGUGUUCUUGCUGAUGGAGUCCUCUAUCUAUACUCUGAUAUAGGUGCUGCUUUUGAUUUAAUGCAUCAUAUAUGGACUAGUGAAAAGUGAACGUGGAAACCUGACUGUAGAGCAAAUUACUGUAAGAAGGCCAGAAGACUAGAAGAACAAUAGAUUCUUAAUGCGGGACACGAAACAAACUACAGAAGAAUUCCUGUAAAAUGAACAGCUCGCAGCUGAA